RNAcentral lists this long non-coding RNA (456 nucleotides) under Olea europaea subsp. europaea. The record is from RNAcentral. Lineage: Eukaryota; Viridiplantae; Streptophyta; Magnoliopsida; Lamiales; Oleaceae.
CUAGGUUAUCUGCUGUAUGGAUCUUCUGUAUAUCCACACUUCCUUCCUCCACCUUCUCUCGAACAAAGUGAUAUUGAACUCGAAUAUGCUUUGUCCUCUGAUGAAAUGCUAGAUUCUUUGCCAAAUGCAAAGUGCUCUGACUAUCACAAAAUAGAGCAAUCUUCUCUAGUUUGUGUCCGAGCUCCUCCAUUAUCAUUUGCAACCAGAUUGCCUCUUUACUGGCUUGUGUAGCUGCCACGUAUUCUGCCUCUGUAGUAGAAGUAGCCACGAUAGACUGCAGUUUCGAAACCCAGCUUACAGCUCCUCCAGCAAGAGUAAACACAUAUCCUGUGGUGGAUUUGCUUUUAUCAAGAUCACCUGCAUAAUCUGAAUCAACAUAGCCUCUGACAAUAAAGUCUGAUCCUCCAUAACAUAAUGUAGCAUUUGAGGUACCCUUGACAUAUCUCAGGAUCCUCU